CCCUUUGUCUUUUCAAUGGUAAAUGUCACGACCUGGAACUCCCAUCGGGCCCAUGACAACCACCGCGACGUCUCGAUAGGCACUCAUUACUUGGAAUGCUUAUCGAAACCCCGCAGGCUUAGCAUCAGCUUCCGCAUCUCCCCGAUGAUCGACAGUUAUUAAAUCUCGCAUUUCAAGAAAUCAUAAGUCGUUUCCAAAUCAAAACAAUAAAAUAUUAUUUUCUGGCUUACAGGGGCAUUUUCAUCAUUUUUCUUCGAAAAUACGAAAAUCCACCAAAAACAUGGUGUAAAAGCUAAAUAUGUUCAUACAUAUUUUAAAUCAGAUAACUGAAGUAUAAAAUUACUUUUACAGUGACACGUGGGCCCCCAAUUGACCAAGAAGGUGUAGGGCUACGAACCAUUACUUUCUAGGAUGCAACUCCGAGAUUAAUUCUCAUCUUAAUCAACUAUCAACAAACUGUCCUGAGCCUGAAAAAUAGAUAGGAAGAGGGGUGAGAUUACAUAAUCCCAGUGAGUAAACAGACACCAUUUAAAUUAUCUAAAGGCGAGUAAAUGGAGACGAAUUAAAAUAUUCUUUUCCAAUAUAUGUUUCAUAACAUGAAUAUUCAGUUUACUCAAUUAAUCAACAUGGCUUAUAUACCUCACAAAACUUGGCUCCUGCCAAAAUCAUUCUCGCGAGUACCUUCGUCAAGGUAUCCCACUGAGACCACCAAGGCUGUUAAAUGUCUUUACAUCCGAAAUUUUAGCCAUACCUUAGCGUUGGCUGAGUCUCACUCUCACGCGAUGGUCCACGUGAAGUGCACUCAAAUCUUUACCUCCAAAGACAACCUUCACACGGCUCUCCGAUCGAGGUAAGGUAUAUCUGAUUCUGUGCCCCCUCUCUUAGGUUGAUCCACAGAACCUCCACUGCAGGGAUUAUGGAUUAUUUUAUCUACCACCUGAUUUAUAAAAUCUUUUU
Molecule: long non-coding RNA, 957 nt
Filed under: Theobroma cacao (cacao)
Lineage: Eukaryota; Viridiplantae; Streptophyta; Magnoliopsida; Malvales; Malvaceae
Description: long non-coding RNA (TCAC_LNC000497)
Source: RNAcentral